AGAACUCAGGCCCUUGUGCUUGCCAGGAAGGCACUUAUUCUACUGAGUUAUCUCCCCGGCCCCCACUCAGUCGAAGAGGACGACCACCCCCGACAGUGGAGGACCAUUCCUCGGUCAAGGGUAUCCGAGUAGCUGCGCUCCCCUGCUAGAACCUCCAAACAAGCUCCCAAGGAUAUAAUUCUCGAGACCAGUUCACAACUCAUUAAAAUUUUAAUCUGCCUGCUGUU
Molecule: small nuclear RNA, 227 nt
Filed under: Octodon degus (degu)
Lineage: Eukaryota; Metazoa; Chordata; Mammalia; Rodentia; Octodontidae
Description: 7SK RNA (ENSODEG00000022596.1)
Rfam family: 7SK RNA
About the family: 7SK was discovered as an abundant small nuclear RNA in the mid-70s but a possible function has only recently been suggested.
Source: Rfam by way of RNAcentral